AGGGUUUGAUCCUGGCUCAGAAUGAACGUUGGCGGCGUGGAUUAGGCAUGCAAGUCGAACGGGCCGCAAGGCCAGUGGCGAAAGGGAGAGGAAUACGUAGAUACCCACCCUCAGGUCCAGGAUAGCCGCGGGAAACUGCGGGUAAUACUGGAUAAUAUCUCCGGAUCAAAGGUGUGAUUCCGCCGGAGGACGGGUCUGCGUCCUAUCAGCUAGUUGGUGAGGUAAUGGCUCACCAAGGCUAUAACGGGUACUGGGUGUGAGAGCACGACCCAGCUCACUGGGACUGAGAUACUGCCCAGACACCUACGGGUGGCUGCAGUCGAGAAUCUUCGGCAAUGGGCGCAAGCCUGACCGAGCGACGCCGCGUGUGGGAUGAAGGCCUUCGGGUUGUAAACCACUGUCGGGGGGGAUGAAAUACUUAGGAGUUAUCUCCUAGGCUUGACAUAUCCUCGGAGGAAGGACGGGCUAAGUUCGUGCCAGCAGCCGCGGUAAGACGAACCGUCCAAACGUUAUUCGGAAUUACUGGGCUUAAAGGGUGCGUAGGCGGCGCGGAAAGUAGGGUGUGAAAUCCCUCGGCUCAACCGAGGAAUGGCGCUCUAAACUACCGUGCUUGAGGAAGAUAGAGGAGAGCGGAACUUAGGGUGGAGCGGUGAAAUGCGUUGAUAUCCUAAGGAACACCGGUGGCGAAGGCGGCUCUCUGGAUCUUUUCUGACGCUGAGGCACGAAAGCUAGGGGAGCGAACGGGAUUAGAUACCCCGGUAGUCCUAGCUGUAAACGAUGAGCACUGGAUCGGAGGGACCCUCAUAUCCUUCUGGUCGAACCGAAAGAGUUAAGUGC
Molecule: ribosomal RNA, 837 nt
Filed under: uncultured Planctomycetota bacterium
Lineage: Bacteria; Pseudomonadati; Planctomycetota
Description: bacterial SSU rRNA
Rfam family: Bacterial small subunit ribosomal RNA
Source: RNAcentral